RNAcentral lists this ribosomal RNA (711 nucleotides) under Triticum aestivum (bread wheat). RNAcentral describes it as "partial small subunit ribosomal RNA". Lineage: Eukaryota; Viridiplantae; Streptophyta; Magnoliopsida; Poales; Poaceae. The record is from RNAcentral.
AUGCGCCGGCCCUCCCCCACGACCAGACUCCACCAGAUCCCCAAUCCCCUCCCGAUCGACCAGCUAGAUCGACCCCGCCGCCGCCAAAACCUAGCUCGCCGGCCGGCGCGAGGCCGCCUUCCGCGCUCAGGCCACCUCCAGCGUAGCUCCCGCCCCUCGCCCCCACUUCUGCUCCUCCACCCCUCACUACCGCAGCUCCUCCACCCCUCACCACCGCAAGCCGCCACCGCCCCCAACCAUCCACCGCCGCCGCCGCUCCCAACCAACAAACCACCGCUGCCGCAGCUCCUCUACCCCUCACCACCGCAAGCCGCUGCGCCCCCAACCAUCCACCGCGGCCGCCGCUCGCAACCAUCCACCGCCACCGCCCCCAACCGACCAACCACCGCCGCCGCUGCCACCAACCAUCAAUCGCCCUCCACUGGACCACAAGCCGCUGCCAACCACUGUCGUCGUCGCCGCACUCCAGAGCUGAAACCCCGACUCACGCGUUUCCUCCCCGAGCAGGCUUCAUCACCGAGCACCAAGUCACGGGUCCGCCUCCUCCACAUGCCCCUGAAGCAACAGACUGCCGUUGGCCUCCUCUCCAGCGAGCAGGCACCUACUCCACAAGCCCCUGAAGCAGCAGACCUCACGUUGGCCCUCCUCUCCAGCGAGCAGCUCUGCCUGCUGAACAUCGACAUCGCUGCCUCUUGUACUUCAUUUGACUGA